AACAGUUAAGUGAUGAAAAACAUUUGCACAUAAUCAAACUCAAUUGGAGUAUUUUCGAGUCCAAUUCAAAAUUAAGAGGAAAAACUCAUAAAAGGAAAAGGAGAGAGUUUUUAAUGUGGAUUACAUGGAUCUUUUGCUGUUCGAGGUGUUGCGCAAGAAGCUCCUCUUGGGUCUGAGCAGUCAUAGUAACUUGGAUUUAGGGUCACAAAUUGGAUUCUGCAGCAGUGGAUCUCAACACAUCCAACUACCUAAAACCCUAAUGAUCAGACUUUAUAUACCUCUCAGUUUUUUUAGAUUCUUUUUAUGUAUUUGGUUUGACCUGAUUAAAACCCGUGUUCUUGAAGAAAAAAAAAAACAUGACGAGCUCAUAUUAGAAAAAAAUAGUAUUGUAAUUUGUGUAAUGUAUAUUUUAUAUAAUUAAAGUUCAUGAUAAAUAAAUAUUUCAACUAUAAUAUAACUAAUAAUUAAAUAUUUUUUAAUCUAGAAAUUAUAUUUUAAAUUUAUAAUGAUAUUUAUAUCAGGAUAAAGGUUUAAAUAUGAUUUUCAAUCCUUUAAAGAUAAAGUCAUUUUUAUUUUGGCACUUUAUUUGUUUACUUUUUUUUGGCCUAUAAAAUUUAAUAUCUUUUAAUUUAGUUCCGAGAGUUAUAUUAAGGUAAUAGUAAUAUUUACAUUCUAAUGAUAUGUCAUGUCAAUAAAAUGUUUAAUAGGAUAAUUAUAUGUAAUUUUUAAUAAAUUAUAUUUUUAAAUUCUAAUGAUGGUGUUUUAUAGGAUAAUUAUAUGUAAUUUUUAAGGUAAUUGUUAUAUCAUUUGUUAAUGUUAUUAGUUGGCAAUAGAGACUAAAACAAAAAAAUAUUAAAUUUUAUACGGACUAGAAAAAUAAAGGAUCAAAAUCAAAAUGAUCCUAUUUUUUAGAGAUCAAAAUCUUAUUUAAAUUUAUGAUAAAAUAUUCUUUAAUUAUUGAUAAUUUAUUUUAAAAUAUUUUAAAAUUUAAGUUAGCAUUAAAAAUGAUAACCUGAAAGAGAUAAAAAAAAUCGACAAAAAAAAUCUAAAAGCACUUUUGUUAAAGAAAUACAACUAAAAAUAUUAUUGUUAAAGAAUUACAAUUAAAAAUGUUCUCGAGUCAAAAUAAUUAUUCUAGUUUAUAAAUAAAGAGGGAUUAAUCUUUUGGAGCAAGCUUGAUGAAUUUAAUUUAUAUGCACUCGGAUAUUAAACUUUUUUACAUAUGUAUAUAAUAGAAUUUUUUUUAUAACUACGUCAUCUAGUUUAUUAAUAUAAUAUGAUAGUGGUGAAAUACUACUAUAGAUAAAGAGGGAUUAAUCUUUUGAGGCAAGCUUGAUGAAUUCAAUUUAUAUGCACUCGAAUAUUAAACUUUUUUACAUAUGUAUAUAAUAGAUUUUUUUUUAUAACUACGCCAUCUAGUUUAUUAAUAUAAUAUGAUAGUAGUGAAAUACUAAUAUAGACUUAUAUUUAAAAUAAUGUGAACUCAAAUUAUAAAUAAAAACUAGAUUAUUUUAAUAAUAUCAGAAUGGAGGACGAAAAACGUUGAGCUAGAGUUUCGGAGGAUGAUCCAAACAGUUCGAAGAAGGAAAAAUUUAGAGAAAAUGAAGUGGUGGUUGAUGAAGACAUGGCUCCUGUGUUUAUGGAGAAUGAUGCUCCAUACAAGGAGAAAUUGUUGACGAUGCAUGAGGAGGAGAAAUAUGAGUGGGAUGGGUAUCAUGAGGAGGAGUUGUCUAUAGAGAAGUGGGAGAAAAAUAUCAUGGAGAAGACUCAAGUGGAGGAGAGCAUGUAUUUUCCUUAGAAAAAAUGUAAAUUAUAUUAAACCCAAAAUGAUAUAACAAUAAACGAAAUAUACACAGCCGUUAGAGAAAAUCAAAAGUCUCCCUAAUAUAAUAAGGCCUAUAUCAAGAUGUUAAAACAAAUGCAAGAGAUGCACAUAUAUUUUCUUUGUCCUGAGAUGAGGACAAUGUUUUAAUCCACGCCAAAAAUUGUCUCACUCCCUAAUUCUAUUUUAAUUCAGAGGGUGAAACUUGAUUACAACCUUGUUCAUUGUAGCAAAACUAACUAUCAUUUUUUCAGUGAAAAACAUACACAUCCUAAUAGAUUGUAGCAAGGACGCAACAAGCCUAUAAAUUACAUAAUCAACAGUCAAUCCUCAAAAUUGAUUGUUGAAGUAGAUAAAGAAAUUCCUUCCUCAUACUACCACCAAGCCAAACGAAGAAUAACAUAUAUACUUCUGAGCCCAAAAUUUAAAAACGAUAGUAAUAAUUAAAAAAAAAAGGCAUUUCUCUAUAAGGUUGUGUAAAGUGAAUAAAUUUGUACCCAAGCAAAAGAAAUAGUGUUAUAUGCAGAAUGACAUUCAGCUUCAACCACUGAUGUCUAAAAUAACUACCUGAAAUUCACAAGACAUUGGUCCACUGCAGUAAGGUGAAAGGGGAGCACAAAAAUGGAAAAAGGAAUCACAUAAUUAAAUCAACAAUAAAAUACAUUUAUGAAAAAGGCCCAUUAUCGCGCACACAGGGGGAAAAUUGGUAGAUUUGUACUACGACAAGUCCAUGUGACCCUAGCUUAGCUCAUGCAUACAAAACUUUCAUUUCUUGCUAGCCACUUUGAAAGUCCAUAUCAUAAAAUGGUAUAUAAACAUGAGUCAAAAUUAUUCCAAAUAAUGUAAGACUUGACCUUUUGUGAUAUCCUUAAAACUAUAACAAAUAUUAUGAACAAAAUAUUUCAAACAGUCAUAAAUAGACAUAGGCCCAUAACAAAAAGGUUUAUCCCCAUUGUCGAAUUUUCAUUGUAAAUGCAAUCACUAAACCCGCUCCAGCCUAGCCUUCUAUCUUUAGCAAAGUAAAUCAUUUCUAUGUAAACGGCAUACUUAAACUUUUCUAAAGCCUUCACAUAAGAGUCAAUCAUUUUUUAAGCGGAUGUAUGAUUUGAGAAAGUACUUCAGUAGCAGCAGUGCUUCUAUGAAAGCCAACAUAUAACUUUGCUCAAAGUAAGUUCUCGUUCAACACAUUUUUCAAUUUCCAUAUAUAGCAAUGACCAUACAGGAAAUUAGAACCACAAGGCACCUAUUAGGAAAAUAAAUACAUGGGGAUAAUUAUAAGCAGAAGAGAGAGCAUUCGUGAAAACAGAAAGAAAUGGAAAGCAUUUCUUCAAUGAGGUUCUUGCCAUAGUGCAAACAAAGUUAGUUUUUUAUAAGCUUCUUUAAUACUCCCUCCGGAUUCAUAUAUAAACAAAAAAAUAGUCUCAUAUAUUAAAUUUAAAUAUAAGUAAAUCUAAUUAAUUGUCAUAUUUAAUGUUAUCAUUCCGAAAACAUCCUUUAUAUACUUUUUAUUCUAUUUUCAAUGACUUUUUUUUUUGUAUGAUAUCAAGUUUUAAUGAAGAAUAAUUUUAAAAUAAUUUUAUUUUUUACUUAAAAUUAAUAAAAUUAAAUGAUGUCAAUUAUUUUUUUAAUCAAUAUAAAAUUAGUUAAUUUUACUUACAUAUAAGUUUAAGAGGGAAUAACAUGUCACAAAAGUAAAAUUAAGGAUUAAGUAUCAAGUUAAUUUUAAGAGAACAAAAACUCAUUAACCAUUACACCACCCGACUACACUAACCGUCCUAAUAGUAUACUCCCUCCAUUCCUUUUUAAGGUUGUUUUGUAGGAACCAAGAAAAACAAUAAAUUUUCUUGAUUUUAAUAAAAUAAUCAUUAUGUUUCCUUUUUUACCCCUUUUUCUACUCACUCCACAAUAAAUACAUGCAUAAAAUAAUUAAUAUUAGAAAAUAAAGAAGAAUAUAAUUGAUAAAAGAAUAAUAAAUAUUAUCUUGAAUUUUACAAAACAUAUAUAUAGAAACUAAAAUUUUCCAAAAAUCCAACACAAAAAAAAAGAGGGAGUAUUAAUGAUGUUAAUCAUUUGUUACGAGUUUCCAUGUUAGUGUAUAAAAUAAGCAUGAAGUAUCCAUUUUAUUUUUGCUCAACAGCAACCAAUGAUCAUAAUAUUAAAAAGAUGUGUUACAGUGUUAGGUUGUCAUUCAAGUCAUAAGAUUGUCUUAAAUAAUGGCAAGACAAAUGCAGUGAUAUAUAAAUCUCAUUCAAGAUCGUAACUGGGUUGUAUCUAUAUUAGAUAAUUGCUAAUUAUGACUGACAUACUUGGCAUUGAACAUGCAUUUGUUGCAAAUGAAGUCUACAGUCUUUUCCUUCCAUGCCGACAAUUACACAGAUAAUUGACAAACCAGUAUUUCAAAUUCAAGGAGAACAAAAAUUAAGAUCAAAGAAAAAUGGCUACACAUUCUAAAAUUCAACCAAACCGGACCAUUAAUUAGUUAGCUCCAUAAUGGCCGCAACAAUGUCACCACCGGCUGCCUUCAGAGCUUUAACGGCUUUAGGUCUUGAAACACCAGCUUGAGUCAUCACCAACUCUAUGUCCUUGGGAUCUACACCAGCCUCAUCCACUUCCUCAUCAUCUUGAGCAACAGCAGAAGAUUCGGGCUUCAAUCCAUCAUUGCUCAAAUUAGGAGCCUUGAAUUGCUCUGCCGCCUGAGUUUGUAGCUGUGAGCUCAAGUCUUCAAUCUUGGCUUCCCCAAAUAUAAUGUACGUGUCAGAUGUUGGACUCUUGAAAACGUCUGGUUUUGAGAUUACGAACAGGAUCUAAACAAACAAAGUCCAAAGUUUCAAUUUUUACCAAAGCAAAAUAGAUCUGACAAAUGAAAAAGGGUGGUGAAAAGCGAAAAAGAUGAGUCAAAUGCUAACAUUCUUGCUCUUCUUGACUGUCACUCGACUGACACCUGUGACAGGUUUCAUUCCAAGUUUAAGCAUUGCCUUGCGACUCUUCUUUUCACUUCUGGUCUGCUUCGACCUACCAGAUGCAUCACCUUCUAGUCCUGCAAUAGAACACAAAUUCCUCUGAGAUUGUAAAUUGGAUCUAUCUUUGUAGCUUCAGUUCAUGUACAAAGAAAAUAUCAAUAUUAACUCAGUCAGACAGAACAUAGACUUGUUAUGAUCUCCAUGCAUGUUCAUUUUUAUUCUGAUACCAGAUCCAAGAUCCACCCAGCCUAUUAUGACAUUGGCAUUAUUUAUUACAAUUCUCGACUCAAGUCUAAAUACAGAACAAUCCUGAAAUGUAUAGACAUGACAUGGGACACGUGAUACAACUCAAAGACACAGAACAAAUUUUAAAAAUUGUACAAUGUAUAAAAUUAACAUAAAAUAUAAAUUUUAAAUCAAAUGAGAGAAUCAAUGUUUUAAAAAUGAACAUGAGUCAUUGUAGAUAUAAUAAAAUGCUACAAUUUAUCAAAUUAUUGUGAUUCACUUUAUAUUUAUUGGUAUAUAAGUUUAAAAAAUAGUAUAAAAUAGGUAAACUACAACUUAGUAUAUUUGCAGUGCCUGAAUAUUCAAUUUGCAUCAUUAAAUCAUGAGAAUGAUUACACAAACCACAUUUGUCCACAAUUUACUGCGAUAACAACAAAUGCGAUGAAAUCACAUCACAACUGUGACCAAUUUUUAAAACCUUGGUCCCUUGUAAGUCGAGACAAGCCAAAUUAAUCUAAAAACCAUGUACAUUCUUUUCCCGUACGAUAUAAUUCCAACCAAACUAUUGAAGGAGUGCUACUAAACCUUUGCCAAAUGCAAGAAUGAAAGUGAGCAAGUCAUGAGCACUCUUCAGUUAAUCUCAUUUACCAACUUACCUUCGUCAUGGUCAUCAUCCUCAUCGUCAUCAUCAUCAUCCACUUCCUCGUCAUCAUCAUCCUCGACGACAGGUUCAUCAUCCUACAAAAGAUAUUAUUCAAAUGUUCAAAAUACUAGAAACAGCAAAUAGUAGGUUGUUAGAUAUGGAGUGGAUUGGAAAAUAAUGGGAUGGAAUGAAUUAAAAUGUUAUUUUACUGUUAGGAUAUUCUAUAAUAGAAUGCAAUGGAGAUUCCAUUCCAUUGUUAGGAAAAAAGACAGAACGAAAUAAGUUAUAACUCGAUAGUUUCUAUAUUACCCCAAUCACUUUCAAAGGAUUACGUUUAUUUAGCUGGUCAAAAUAGGGAUUUUUUAUUUUAAAAGAUUAGCUACAUCCCCUACACCCCAAAUUGAGAGAGAAUAAAAAUUGGACUAAAUGGAAUGGGAUGAAUCAGGUCCCAUCCCGAUCUAUUAUUAGUUUUUCACAAAAGAAACAAUCAAUCGACUUUCUCAUCCAAUCCACCAUCUACCAUCAAUCCAAACACAGGCUAAGGUUAUGCUGAAAAACAAAAAUAAUAUUCAGAGACACUUUCUGCUGUUAGUUGUAAUUGUUCUUCUAGAACAGUAACUGAGGUUUUUUUUUUCUAAAGACGGAGUUCUUCUACUAAGUUUGAUUUGAAAACUAAACUCUUCUUUUUCAUAAAAAUUGCUGAAUCCCCAGAAACCUUUCAAUUGAUUGCACAGAAAAAAGUUCAGCUUAACCAAUAGAAAACCUAGUAAUUUACACUCUCUUCCUCAUCUCUAGUUACUGAUCGAAUCCCUAAUGAAAAAACAAAGAAGGCAAACUGCAUAAAAAUUACAAAGCUAUCAAAAACCUCAAUAUUCUCGAAUAAUAAUAAAUAAAAAAACACCUUAACAGUAACCCAUUACUACUAGUCCUUCAAAGUCCACAGGCUACAAAUCCUAAAAUAGUUAAGUGAUGAAAAACAUUUGCACAUAAUCAAACUCAAUUGGAGUGUUUCGAAUCCAAUUCAAAAUUAAGGAAAAUAACGCAUAAAAGGAAAAGGAGAGAGUUUUUAAUGUGGAUUACAUGGAUCUUUUGCUGUUCGAGGUGUUGCGCAAGAAGCUCCUCUUGGGUCUGCGCAGUCAUAGUAACUUAGAUUUAGUGUCACAAAUUGGAUUCUGCAGCAGUGGAUCUCAACACAU
RNAcentral lists this long non-coding RNA (6846 nucleotides) under Glycine max (soybean). Its description in RNAcentral is "long non-coding RNA (GMAX_LNC004390)". The record is from RNAcentral. Lineage: Eukaryota; Viridiplantae; Streptophyta; Magnoliopsida; Fabales; Fabaceae.